ACAAGUGGGUUGAUUAUAGGGUAAUAAGUGGCCACAAAUUCUAGAUUUACAAAGGAAGUCUCUCAUUUUCCAAAUAAUAUAACCUAAUCCCCCUACCUUUCAUUAUUAGCAAAGUGUAUCCCAAAUUUAAAUUUGUAUCCAACCUACAUAUUCAAAUAUUGUAGAUUGUAAAAUAAAUCCCAACAAAAUAAUUUAAUCAUUUGGUCAAUUGAAGUCCUAACAAGAUAAUCCACUUCAUUCAAAUUCAAACUUGACUUGAAUUUCGACUACUAAUAAUCACUUCAUGUAUACACAACAUUUAGCACUUCAUGCUUGCAUUCAUUAGCUACCUCUAGCAUUAACCACUACAAAGGUGGUGCCCCCUUUUUC
This 369-nucleotide long non-coding RNA is filed under the name Olea europaea (common olive). RNAcentral describes it as "long non-coding RNA (OEUR_LNC009083)". The record is from RNAcentral. Lineage: Eukaryota; Viridiplantae; Streptophyta; Magnoliopsida; Lamiales; Oleaceae.